This 1388-nucleotide ribosomal RNA is filed under the name uncultured bacterium. RNAcentral's name for it is "bacterial SSU rRNA". It matches the Rfam family "Bacterial small subunit ribosomal RNA". The record is from RNAcentral.
GAGUUUGAUCCUGGCUCAGGAUGAACGCUAGCGGCAGGCUUCAUACAUGCAAGUCGAGGGGCAGCAUAAAUUACUUGUAAUUUGAUGGCGACCGGCGAACGGGUGCGUAACGCGUAUGCAACUUACCUUUUACUAGAGAAUAGCCAAGAGAAAUUUUGAUUAAUGCUCUAUGUUCUUAUUUACUCGCAUGAGUAAAUAAGCAAAGCUCCGGCGGUAAAAGAUGGGCAUGCGUCCUAUUAGCUUGUAGGUGAGGUAACGGCUCACCUAAGCUCCGAUAGGUAGGGGUCCUGAGAGGGAGAUCCCCCACACUGGUACUGAGACACGGACCAGACUUCUACGGAAGGCAGCAGUAAGGAAUAUUGGACAAUGGAGGCAACUCUGAUCCAGCCAUGCCGCGUGAAGGAAGACGGCCUUAUGGGUUGUAAACUUCUUUUAUACAGGAAGAAACCUUUCCACGUGUGGAAAGCUGACGGUACUGUAAGAAUAAGGAUCGGCUAACUCUGUGCCAGCAGCCGCGGUAAGACAGAGGAUGCAAGUGUUAUUCGGAUUGAUUGGGCGUAAAGCGUCUGUAGGCGGUUUAGAAAGUCUUUUGUGAAAUACUUCAGCUCAACUGGAGCUCCGCAAAAGAAACUUCUAGACUUGAGGGAAGUAGAGGUACAGGGAAUUUCCGGUGGAGCGGUGAAAUGCGUAGAUAUCGGAAGGAACACCAAUAUGGCGAAGGCACUGUACUGGGCUUUACCUGACGCUAAGAGACGAAAGCUAAAGGAGUGAUUAGGAUUAGAUACCCUAGUAAUUUUAGCCGUAAACGAUGGAAACUCACUGCCGAGCCGGUAUUCGGAGCGGUGGUCAAGCUAACGCGUGAAGUUUCCCGCCUGGGGAUUACGCAUGCAAAUGUGAAACUCAAAGGAAUUGACGGGGACCCGCACAAGCGGUGGAGUAUGUGGUUUAAUUCGAUGCAACGCGAAAAACCUUACCAAGGUUUGAAAUCAUUCUAAAACUCUUUGAAAGAAGAGCCUCCUUCGGGAUAGAAUGACAGGUGGUGCAUGGCUGUCGUCAGCUCGUGUUGUGAAAUGUCAAGUUAAGUCUUGUAACGAGCGCAACCCAUGUCUUUUGUUGCUGUUUACAGUGCUUAAAAGAGACUGCCGCUCUACAGCGGAGGAAGGUGUGGAUGAUGUCAAGUCAGCAUGCCCCUUAUAUCUUGGGCUACACACGUACUACAAUGGUAGGGACAAUGAGUCGCAAACCUGCGAAGGCUAGCCAAUCUCAAAAACCCUAUCUCAGUUCGGAUUGUACUCUGCAACUCGAGUGCAUGAAGGUGGAAUCGCUAGUAAUCGCUGGUCAGCAUACAGCGGUGAAUACGUUCCCGGGUCUUGCACUCACUGCCCGUC